GCUGACAAGCGAGGACCCCAGGCAGGAAGCGGAUCGGCGCUCAGGCGGCUUCGCCGCCCCGCCCGGCCACCCCGCUCCGCUCUGCUCCGUUCCCGCUCCCGCCCCGGGAGUCUGUGUUUAAUGAAACAGCUUUAGUGUUUUGUUACUGGCUUCUUAGGGCUUAAAUGCAGAGUUUGAAAUGAUGCCUUGUGGUUGAGUGAGUGUCUUCCUGCUGAAUUCAGCAGGCAUUCGGUGAAUUUGGGCUUCUGCAGCGGAGGAGGCGGACCAGCUGAAGAGCCUGUUGCAGCCGAAGCGGCGCGAGCUGGCGCUGGACGUGCCGAAAGCAGAGGAACUGCCUGGGCUGCCAGAGAUGCUGAGAAAGGGCUGACGAAUUAGUGGUUACCACGACAACCUGUCACCUGUAGCUGAGCUCCACCCACCGCAUGUCCAAGGAGCUGCAGGUGAGGAACAAAGUGAAGCAGGAGCAGAAUGCCAGGCUGCAGCACCGAGGGAGAAUUGGAAGGAGCGCAGCUUGGAGGUGGCAGUGCUGGAGAAGCGUGUUAGUGAGCUGCCAGAGCACCUGGAGAAGAGAAAGGCAGCUCUGUCCCAGGGAGAGAAUGUACCAGUUUCUUCAGAUGGGAAUUCACCACAGCCAGUGGUUUCUGCUCCAAGGGGAGUGGCAGCAGUAGGUCCUUCUAUCCAGUCCUCUACUAUGCCACAUAUUGCUUCCAGAGCUGAACUUUAGGUGAAAGCAGCAUUCUCAGGUGGGACAUGAGCCUUGCCGGGCAGCUGAGGGUCUGCUAAAAUCACAAACUCCGCCCAGCGUGGGAGCUUGUAACCGUUCACAAGCUAAAGCUCCUGCAGGUAAGAGCUUAUGAUUAAUAGUUCUUAUCCAGACAUGUUUUGGUUCAUCUAACUGCUCUGUUUUGGUGGUUUGGGGUUUUGUUUGUUUGUUUGUUUUUGAAGCAAAGAGUUACUUGCGAUGUUAAGUCUCGCUACUUGCAAUUAUUUUUUUUUUGUGCCUGUGAAUACAUUUAUAAGCAGUGAGGUUAUACAGUUCAAUGUUAUAAAUUAGGUAAUUCUCUUAGUGAGCAACAGGAGUUGUUAUACAGUGUGGACUGCAGAAGGAUUUGUGUGUAAACUAAUUAUUUUUUUUAUUUUAAAGCUCUCCUAAAAACUAUACACCAGUGUGCGUUUGAGUUUCUAGAGUCAGUUUUGGGUCAUACCUGGUAACAAUCUGGUGCCUGGAUUUAACAACUAGCAAAGCCAAGUUUUGUGAUCAUGCAUUUUGGAAAUGACACGUGUAAAGGAUUUACCAUUAGCGUAGCUAACAUGGCUACAGGCUCUGAAGUUAGAACUUCAGAAAAGAAGGCUCCCUGCCAAGGUCAAGGAGGAGUCUUAGAAAGCUAAACAAGUUUUUUCAUCUCUUGUGGACACCUGCGAUGCUCCAAUUAACACCGGACAACAAAGUAUGUUUCUCUUAUGUAUCCAGUGCUGUGUGAAGAAGAAUCACACGUCCAGGUGUAGCAGCAGUAUAUAAUAAAUGUUCUUCUUCUAAUAAACGGACAUUUUGCCAACCA
Pseudopipra pipra is the source of this 1559-nucleotide long non-coding RNA. RefSeq lists it as uncharacterized. Lineage: Eukaryota; Metazoa; Chordata; Aves; Passeriformes; Pipridae. The transcript has 4 exons. The record is from RefSeq and is a predicted model, not a curated record.